This 1524-nucleotide long non-coding RNA is filed under the name Manihot esculenta (cassava). RNAcentral describes it as "long non-coding RNA (MESC_LNC006476)". Lineage: Eukaryota; Viridiplantae; Streptophyta; Magnoliopsida; Malpighiales; Euphorbiaceae. The record is from RNAcentral.
AGCAAAUUUAUUUCUGGUUUCUGCGUAUCCAUUAUGGCCUCGGCUACUCUUUCUGUAGCCAAACCAUCCCUUCAGGUUCCUCUUCCUCUUAAUUUGUUAUGUUACACUCGGAACUUGUGUCUUUAUGUAAGUUUGAUUUGUUUAUUUUUGUUUUUUGUUCAGGGAAAUGGAAAGGGAUUCCAAGAAUUCUCAGGCCUCCGCAACUCAGCAGCUUUCCUUCCCUUUUCCAAGAAAACUUCUGAUGACUUGCUCUCAGUCGUUGCUUUCCAGACUUCUGCUGUGAGUUUCAUAUAUUCUCAUAUUAAGAAACUAAUAUUGUAAGCAAUUAGAUGCAUGCCACUAUUAAUGGAAUACGAAUCAGCAAGUACAUUGAACAGAUUGCCAAAUGGGAAUCUCAAAAUGAAGUUAAAACUGAUCAUAGCUUGUUCAAUUUAGAGAGAUAAGACAGUAUCCAUCAUUGAAAUUAGAUCUCCUGUUCAAUUUAGUAGGAGAAGACUUCUAAUAGUUAAGUUGGAUUGGUAGAAUCUCAGGAUUUGUGUAUUUGAAUGUGAAGGUGGGAAGCAGCAAUGGGGGAUACAGGAAAAUUGCAGCUGAGGCUAAGCUAAAAGUGGCCAUAAAUGGAUUUGGUAGGAUUGGAAGGAACUUCUUGAGAUGCUGGCAUGGACGUAAGGAUUCCCCUCUGGAUGUUAUCGCCAUUAACGACACUGGCGGUAUCAAGCAAGCCUCUCAUCUCCUCAAGUACGAUUCCACCCUUGGCAUCUUCGAUGCUGAUGUUAAGCCUGCUGAGAAUGGUAUCUCUGUCGACGGCAAGGUCAUCAAGGUUGUUUCUGAUCGCAACCCCGUCAAUCUUCCUUGGAAGUAAGCUCAGAGAGGCUCUGCUUCAUUCCUUCUUGUCCUUGCUUUCCCUGAUUAAGAUUGCUUGAUUCUGAAUGUAAGAACACGAUUUGAAUGCUAUGUAGGGACUUGGGUAUCGACCUGGUGAUUGAAGGAACUGGAGUUUUCGUGGACAGGGACGGUGCUGGAAAGCACAUUCAGGCAGGAGCCAAGAAAGUGCUCAUCACAGCCCCUGGAAAAGGUGACAUCCCAACCUACGUCGUCGGAGUCAAUGCUGAUGCUUACAAUCCUGAUGAGCCUAUUAUCAGCAAUGCUUCUUGCACUACCAAUUGCCUUGCUCCUUUUGUCAAGGUCCUUGACCAGAAGUUUGGUACAAUUCCUCUCUUCUUUAUUCCAUUUUCUUUAAGAAUUUGGAUUCCAGUGAUUGAGUUCGACCUCCUGUAGGCUUUAGAAAUACUCAAUAGAAAUGAAAAAUUGAAAAUUGAAUGACAACUUGUGGCUACCUGCAGGCAUUAUCAAAGGAACCAUGACUACCACUCACUCAUACACCGGUGACCAGAGACUCCUGGACGCCAGCCACCGCGAUCUCAGACGGGCAAGAGCUGCUGCUCUAAACAUUGUUCCAACUUCAACUGGUGCAGCCAAGGCAGUUGCCCUUGUCCUUCCAACUCUCAAAGGAAAACUUAACGG